This 309-nucleotide ribosomal RNA is filed under the name Triticum aestivum (bread wheat). Its description in RNAcentral is "partial small subunit ribosomal RNA". The stretch from base 139 to 277 matches the Rfam family "Small nucleolar RNA Z247". Lineage: Eukaryota; Viridiplantae; Streptophyta; Magnoliopsida; Poales; Poaceae. The record is from RNAcentral.
AUGUUCUCGUCCCGCUCACUCAGCCGCGUCAACAACAUCCGCACUGCGCUCAUCAAUGCACAGAAGGGCAACUAGUCGGUCGCCGCCUACUUUGCCUCCCUGUGCGGCCUUGCUAAUGAACUCGCCGCCGCCGGGAAACCCAUCCAAGAUGACGAGUUGAUCUCGUACAUUCUCCAUGGGCUCGACAUCGACUACCAGCCGCUCGUCUCCGCCCUCGACGCCCGAGUCACGCCCGUCACACUUGAUGAGCUCUAUGCCAUGCUGAGUAACUUCAAUCAGCGCAUGGCCCAGUUCCAUGGCUCCGCCGGC